UACAGGGGGUGCAAGCGUUGCUCGGAAUCAUUGGGCGUAAAGCGCACGUAGGCGGUUCGUUAUGUCGGAUGUGAAAGCCCUUGGCUUAACCGAGGAAGUGCAUCCGAAACUGGCGAGCUAGAGUACGAAAGAGGAUCGCGGAAUUCCCGGUGUAGAGGUGAAAUUCGUAGAUAUCGGGAGGAACACCGGUGGCGAAGGCGGCCAUCUGGACGGAUACUGACGCUGAGACGCGAAAGCGUGGGGAGCAAACAGG
RNAcentral lists this ribosomal RNA (253 nucleotides) under uncultured bacterium. RNAcentral's name for it is "partial 16S ribosomal RNA". It matches the Rfam family "Bacterial small subunit ribosomal RNA", at positions 524 to 776 of the family's 1533-position model. The record is from RNAcentral.